RNAcentral lists this long non-coding RNA (768 nucleotides) under Marmota monax (woodchuck). Lineage: Eukaryota; Metazoa; Chordata; Mammalia; Rodentia; Sciuridae. The record is from RNAcentral.
ACAGCCCUGUCUGUCCAGUGUCCUGGAUUCUGUUCAUGCAGGCGGUGGUGACAAGCAGGAUCAGAAGUCGCACUUACUUAACAGCUCUGAGCCUCAGAGACAUGCAGCAGAUGGCAGCCCUGUGAACCUGGCCUGGGAAAACACUGGAACUUGGGGCCUGCACCUUCAGAGUGGCGUUUCUGGCAUCUACCAGUUGUGCAGCCUCUACCACUUUAGACUGAAGAAUGACACAUGGUAGGGACAGAUCCAUCGCUGAUUCUGACCUGGGAGAGAAGGUCUCUUCUCCCUCUGGUGGGUCAGGAAACUAGUCUAGAACUUAGCUCAUGUGCAUGUGUCUAAAGAGGCAAGUGCAAUUAUUGGUCCUAAAGUCAGCCUCAAAUUUUGAGCAACAGUGGAAGUGGGUUUAGGGUGGAAGUAGUGUCUGGUUCAGAUUGAAGCCUUUCACUUGAAAAACUUCCUUUCUGAAUUGAUCUGUGUAGCAGCUCUUUGGUCUUCAGUUUCAAGGUCCACUCUUCCUGUUCUCUGCCUACCCCUCAAGCACCACCACUCUCAGGCCCUACCCACAAGGUCGACUCAGGAGCCCAACUCUACUCCUGUUCCCAGAAAGGAUUGAUAAAAAUCCUGGUUUGUCUCCCUGCAUUCAUGUUAAUGAAGUAAACACAUACAAAAGAGAACAAAGGAUAUUUAUGAGAGCAUUUUGGAUGGAAGAGCACUUAAAAAAAGGAAAACCCACAAACUUCCAAGGUGAAAUAUGAGAGGGAUUAUUAU